This 270-nucleotide ribosomal RNA is filed under the name uncultured bacterium. RNAcentral describes it as "partial 16S ribosomal RNA". It matches the Rfam family "Bacterial small subunit ribosomal RNA", at positions 29 to 284 of the family's 1533-position model. The record is from RNAcentral.
AACGAACGUUAGCGGCGCGCCUAACACAUGCAAGUCGAGCGAGAAAGGGCUUCGGCCCCGGUACAGCGGCGCACGGGUGAGUAACACGUAGGUAAUCUACCCCCGAAUGGUGGAUAACCCUCCGAAAGGAGGGCUAAUACAGCAUAAGACCACGGCUUCUUCGGAGGCUGAGGCCAAAGCGGGCCUCUUAACUAAAGCUCGCGUUUGGGGAUGAGCCUGCGGCCCAUCAGCUAGUUGGCGGUGUAAUGGACCACCAAGGCUAAGACGGGU